Non-coding RNA from Xenopus laevis (African clawed frog), 430 nucleotides. NCBI's taxonomy places the organism in Eukaryota, Metazoa, Chordata, Amphibia, Anura, Pipidae. The record is from the annotation of a RefSeq genome assembly.
UCCAACUGCCAGACCCAUAACUCUCACUGUCAAUAUGAAGUUGUUUCUGGUUAUUUUAAUAUUACUGGGACAUUUAUCAGGGGUUCAUUGUGAAGUGCAACUUGCCCAGUCAGAGUCAGUGGUGAUAAAGCCGGGAGGGUCUCACGAACUGUCCUGCACAGCCUCUGGCUUCACAUUCAGUAACUUCUGGAUGAACUGGUUUAGACAGGCUCCUGGGAAAGGAUUACAGUGGGUAUCUAAUAUUAACUACAACGGGGCUGAGACAUACUAUGCUGAUUCAGUUAAAGGAAGAUUCACCAUCUCCAGAGACAAUAAUAACAACAAGUUAUAUCUGCAAAUGAACAAUCUACAUACUGAAGACACUGCCUUGUAUUACUGUGCUAGAGACACAGUGACAAAUAAUCACAGAGCAGUGCAGCAAAAACACUAA